ACGCGUUAGCUACGUUACUCAGGAAUAAAUUCCCGAACAACUAGUCAGCAUCGUUUAGGGCGUGGACUACCAGGGUAUCUAAUCCUGUUUGCUCCCCACGCUUUCGUGCAUGAGCGUCAGUAUUAUCCCAGGGGGCUGCCUUCGCCAUUGGUAUUCCUCCACAUCUCUACGCAUUUCACUGCUACACGUGGAAUUCUACCCCCCUCUGACAUACUCUAGCUAUGCAGUCACAAGCGCAAUUCCCAGGUUAAGCCCGGGGAUUUCACGCCUGUCUUACAUAACCGCCUGCGCACGCUUUACGCCCAGUAAUUCCGAUUAACGCUUGCACCCUACGUAUUACCGCGGCUGCUGGCACGUAGUUAGCCGGUGCUUAUUCUUCAGGUACCGUCAUUCGCAGACUGUGUUAGAGCUGCUGUUUCUUCCCUGACAAAAGAGCUUUACAACCCGAAGGCCUUCUUCACUCACGCGGCAUUGCUGGAUCAGGGUUGCCCCCAUUGUCCAAAAUUCCCCACUGCUGCCUCCCGUA
RNAcentral lists this ribosomal RNA (526 nucleotides) under uncultured Polynucleobacter sp. RNAcentral describes it as "partial 16S ribosomal RNA". Lineage: Bacteria; Pseudomonadati; Pseudomonadota; Betaproteobacteria; Burkholderiales; Burkholderiaceae. The record is from RNAcentral.